Long non-coding RNA from Pantherophis guttatus, 637 nucleotides. RefSeq lists it as uncharacterized. The record is from RefSeq and is a predicted model, not a curated record. NCBI's taxonomy places the organism in Eukaryota, Metazoa, Chordata, Lepidosauria, Squamata, Colubridae.
UUCACAGAGUCAUUGUCCUUCAUAUCGAUUGAGAUCUAACUUCAUGAUUUUUGGCCUGAAGUCUCAUGCGAUCAAUCUGACAGAUACUGUUAGAGACAAAAAGAGCAUUCGUUUUCUUGUUGACAGUCCUCAUUUUUUCAGUAACUUUUGAAGUCAUCAGCCGUGAGUUUCUGCUGGGAUGGCUUGGAUAGCAUGAAAACAGGAUCAUGAAAUGGCAGUGAUUCUGCUCCUUCCAGCUGGGAAGAUUCUGUAGCAAUCUACUCUCUUUGAAUUCUUCACUUUAAAUGGGUUGCUUCUUUUAUGAAUUUGGAUUUGAUUUCAUUGGUGGAAGUGAAUAAUGUGAGACUCAAGAAUUGAUGUACAAUUUGAGGAACUCCCUGGAUUUGUGGCUCCUGCUCAAGAAGCAGCUGGCAGCUGUGUCUAGGGACCCUUUGCACAGAUACAUAUUGUGUCUCAAUCACACUCAUUUGUGGAUUGGGAUGCCCUGCCUAGGAUCACUCAAACCUUGGUCACUUUCAGGUGUGACUAUUGCAAUGUGUUCUGCAUGAGACUAUCUUUGAAGACCACCUAGAAAUUACAGUUGGUCCAGAAUAUAGCAUUUUGCAUGGUAAUAGACACCCCCUCAGUUUGCCAAUAG